This 1616-nucleotide long non-coding RNA is filed under the name Mus musculus (house mouse). RNAcentral describes it as "RIKEN cDNA 4930429F11 gene (4930429F11Rik)". The record is from RNAcentral. Lineage: Eukaryota; Metazoa; Chordata; Mammalia; Rodentia; Muridae.
AGGAUGCAAAGACUGAUGGGAGAAUGGAGGAGGAAGCAACAUGGCAGGGCAGAGUGAACAUGAUGGGGCUGGGAAUGAAGUAAGCAUACUGCCUUUGAGUAGAUAAUCAUUGUGCAGAGAGAAGACGGGAGACAGCUGACCCUACCUUCUGGUUUCUGACAGAAUGAGGUCCACGACAAAACUGGAGGCUAUUGGAGGGAAAAGCAGUCCUGACUCCAGUCUAUUCUUACAGUAGAAUCAGGCCCGGAGGGAAAGGCUACAGCAUGCUGGUCGUCACCUGCAACCUGCCCUGGCUUGUCCACCUGCAUUGCAGGGCUCUCUUGUCUACAAUCACCAAGACACUGGGUAAAGGGUUUGAUCUGAGGCCAAAGCAAAUAGCAGCUGAAAGACUAACAACAGUUGGUGUCUCGCCCUGGCUCAGUUGGGCUCUGGCGCCUUCCUAGGUAACCCUCUUUCCCCACAAAAGUCUGUUUGGCCUGGCGAAAACAGCUGACUCUUCUGCAGUUGCUUCGGUGUUUACCAGUGGCUCCCACAUACAGCCCUCGCCCCUCACAGCGUUGCUGUUGGUGAAGCUGUAUUGUGACUGUUCUAUAGACACAGACACUCCUAGCGGCAUCCUAUAUAGCGAAGUGACACUGUCUUCUUUGUAACCAAACCUCCUUAACAAUAGAAUGAAACUUACACCUGCUGUAAAGUUGUAUGGAGAUUUAAAUAGGAUUUUCUUCUGUUUUAAUCAUGAAUAAUAGACCCUUUCUAAAUGUGAACCGGAUAAAAUAGAACUUUUCAACUUCUGAGUCUAUGAUAGAUUAAUAUGGAUGGCUCCAGGAAUUUCUUCCACAUUUCGACAUAUAUACUUCCUUGUGUUAUUAACUGGCAAUCCCUUCCAAUUAAGGGCAGGUCUUAUCUUCUGUCCUUGAGUCCUGCAUGGCUCUCAGACUUGCUUUGAUUAGUAAAAUAUGGCAGAAAUAGCAACAGGCCUUGAGGUCUACUCGCAACUUCUGGAGCCCUGUGACUCUCACACAAGGAAACCCAAGUUGAUGUACUCGGGUGUAAGUGACCCAGACAGCAAGGCUGAUAGUUAACCAUCAGCCCCUUCCAGUAUUCCUCAUGCCUCUAUCUGCUGAGUACAAGCAUACGUAAUUCCGUGUGAUGCCACCAGAAUUACCCAGAUGUAUGAGGCCCAAUUUACAGAAUCAAGAACAAACAUGGUUGUUAGCUUAGACCACUAAAGUAGGAAAAUGAGACAUGAUGAAGGUGAAGAGGUUGGAAUAUUUAGAUGGUAAAUUUGUAUAAAUACUGAAAGGGGGCAUGAAGUCAACUCAUGAUGUCAUCCCUUAAACUAUGGUGGGUUCAACAUCAUUUAGUGGUUAUUUUAACUAAAUACAGAAAGAAUUUGGAAUUUGAUGAAUUUGUGAAGACACAUUCCUAUCAUGUGUGUAAUUCUUUGAGUAAACAUAUGUGCUAUAACCUCAAAUUUAGUGAGAUCCAAAAUCAGGGGCUUAUUAAUUUCUCUAUCUUACCUAUAUGGACAAUAUCGUGCUUGAACAUAUGUGUCUGACCAGAGAGGUAUUGAGAACGUUUCCAACAUUGUGUCAGGGGAUCAUAAUAAAGCUUAG